Molecule: ribosomal RNA, 252 nt
Filed under: Muribaculum intestinale
Lineage: Bacteria; Pseudomonadati; Bacteroidota; Bacteroidia; Bacteroidales; Muribaculaceae
Description: partial 16S ribosomal RNA
Rfam family: Bacterial small subunit ribosomal RNA
Source: RNAcentral
UACGGAGGAUGCGAGCGUUAUCCGGAUUUAUUGGGUUUAAAGGGUGCGCAGGCGGCGUGCCAAGUCAGCGGUAAAAAUGCGGUGCUCAACGCCGUAGAGCCGUUGAAACUGACAUGCUAGAGUGAGCGAGAAGUAUGCGGAAUGCGUGGUGUAGCGGUGAAAUGCAUAGAUAUCACGCAGAACCCCGAUUGCGAAGGCAGCAUACCGGCGCUCAACUGACGCUCAGGCACGAAAGUGCGGGGAUCAAACAGG